CGAGUAGGACUACCCGCUGAACUUAAGCAUAUCAAUAAGCGGAGGAAAAGAAACUAACAAGGAUUCCCCUAGUAACGGCGAGUGAAGAGGGAAGAGCUCAAAUUUUGAAUCUGGCGUCUUUGGCGUCCGAGUUGUAAUCUAGAGAAGUGUUUUCCGUGGCGGACCGUGCAUAC
RNAcentral lists this ribosomal RNA (173 nucleotides) under uncultured sebacinaceous ectomycorrhiza ERF3. RNAcentral's name for it is "partial 26S ribosomal RNA". It matches the Rfam family "Eukaryotic large subunit ribosomal RNA", at positions 14 to 184 of the family's 3401-position model. The record is from RNAcentral. Lineage: Eukaryota; Fungi; Basidiomycota; Agaricomycetes; Sebacinales; Sebacinaceae.